Zingiber officinale is the source of this 511-nucleotide long non-coding RNA. RefSeq lists it as uncharacterized. The transcript is spliced from 4 exons. Lineage: Eukaryota; Viridiplantae; Streptophyta; Magnoliopsida; Zingiberales; Zingiberaceae. The record is from RefSeq and is a predicted model, not a curated record.
GUCGCAUCUCCUCUAGCCGACCUUGCUUCCCCGAUCCGACGCUACUGGAUCGAUCCAGAUCCACCCGAUCGUCAGCGUGGAAGGAACAUUAGGGUCUUGAGGAUCUUGGAUCCAAUCUUCGUUCUUGUUAAUUUGGGGACAGAAGAAUUCCUGGUACGUUGCUUCACGGAUCGGAUGGGGCGACGUUUUCUGGAGACGAUCGAUUGAGGUUUCGGUUGAUGAUGAUGGGAUCAAUUGAGUUGUUGGGCAGAGGAUUGAAGGGUUGAUUGAUGUCUUGGAUUGCUUGAUUUGAGAUCAGUGAUCUGCUUGUUGACCUCUUCUCUUGAUCCGAUCAGUGAGGUGAGUUCUGUUGCUGUGAGGCUGGGAUUGUGAUCUUUGAGGUGUAUCCAGCAGCUUUCCCUAACCGGCAGCAACCCCUUUGGUUGUGAUCUAUUGGUGAUCACCUUGGAUUCGAGGAGUCUGAUUUGAGACAGGCGUCUCGACGUUGAAUUCGGAUUUGGAUUGUACCUUC